AUUGAACGCUGGCGGCAUGCCUUACACAUGCAAGUCGAACGGCAGCAUAGAGAGCUUGCUCUCUGAUGGCGAGUGGCGAACGGGUGAGUAAAGCAUCGGAACGUACCGUGUAGUGGGGGAUAACGUAGCGAAAGUUACGCUAAUACCGCAUACGUACUGAGGUAGAAAGCAGGGGAUCGUAAGACCUUGCGCUAUACGAGCGGCCGAUGUCAGAUUAGCUAGUUGGUAGGGUAAAGGCCUACCAAGGCGACGAUCUGUAGCGGGUCUGAGAGGAUGAUCCGCCACACUGGGACUGAGACACGGCCCAGACUCCUACGGGAGGCAGCAGUGGGGAAUUUUGGACAAUGGGGGCAACCCUGAUCCAGCCACGCCGCGUGAGUGAAGAAGGCCUUCGGGUUGUAAAGCUCUUUCGGCCGGGAAGAAAUCGCACAGGCUAAUACCCUGUGUGGAUGACGGUACCGGCAUAAGAAGCACCGGCUAACUACGUGCCAGCCGCCGCGGUAA
RNAcentral lists this ribosomal RNA (504 nucleotides) under uncultured bacterium. Its description in RNAcentral is "partial 16S ribosomal RNA". It matches the Rfam family "Bacterial small subunit ribosomal RNA", at positions 30 to 523 of the family's 1533-position model. The record is from RNAcentral.